UCAUGUAAUAUAAUUUAUUUAACUUAAUACAUCCAAAAUAUUAUCAGUUCAGCAUGUAACCUUCACAUAACUUAUUAAUGGGAUCGGUUGCUUUCUUCUCUUCAGGCCAGGUCUUUGAGCUCGUGUGUGUCUGCCAUGCACUUCACACUCACAGCCCACCUCCUGUGGAUUGGCCACACGCCUGGGUCUCAGUAGCUCGUGUGCCGGCAGCUGGGAUGGGGGCAGGCUGGGCAGUGAAGAAGAACAACCUCCCCCUGUUCUAACUCAUUCAGCUCUGCUCGGGUCUUCGUAUUUCCCUGGCCCUGAAGCUCCCCCUCUCGGAGGUGCCCCUCUACCAGCCCCUUGAAGAAUCGUGUGUGAACCAUCACUCCUAGCCCUGUGCUACCAGCCCACCUCACUCACAGCUCAUGCAGAACUUUGUAACUAAAAUCCCAGGACCUGGAAAAUACAUGUCUGGGAGCUCCCAGACAUAACAAUCACUUCUGGACUCCCAGGAGAAGGCCAUAUCUUUCCCUUGGUCUUCCCUGCCCACUUCCAAUCGUUGUCUCACCCUGUUUCUCCACAAACUCUCUCCUCUUUUCCUCUCUGCUCUCCCUUUCCAGAUUGAGCAGGAUGGUGGUGGGGCUGCUGGGGGGGCAUUUCUGGGUCCUGUCCUGGGGAAACAGCUUGCAGAGGGGAGGCAGGGAAGGGCAAGGCAUGCUCUCACUUCACUGUCAGUCCUGCAGCUAAGAGUCUGAGGCUGGACCACCGCCUCUGCAUGGGACAACAAAACCGGGCUGGCGGCACUCCCGCGACAGUUCCCAGACACCCACAACCCAGGCAGGUGGCGCACCUGAGUAAAGGUGUCUGGGUAUCGGAUGGGACUGGUGGGCCUGGAAAACACAGGCCCCACCCAGGACAUUUAAAUUCAGCUUUUAACCCUGUGCAAGCCAAGCAAAACCAGUGGGAGCCAAAGAGUCAUCAGCUUGUGGUUCCCAAGAGAGGGACGGGUCCUGGGGACUCUGUUCACAGCUUGUAGGUAUCGAGGGACAGCUACCUUGCCUCCUGCCCCACCCUUUUAGGGAUCUGCUGUCUAUAAACUGCCGGAUGUCAGGUACCUGGUUCAUCAUCUUCAUUUUCAUGCACGUCAACAGCCACAUCACUGACCUUCCAACAAAUCUUCCAGCCUUACCGACCCUCAGUCCUCGCCUCUAAUGGCCCUAUAUUCCAUCCGGAAUCGGACCCUCAAGUGAAGUGAAAUGCAGCCUGUAACUCAGAGAGUGGCAGGUUGUCUCCUCUGAACCGGUGUCAGGUGCUACUUUCUCCGCAACCCUAGGCUGUAGGCACUCAGCAGCCCCAGAAUCUGCAGGCUUAGCCCUGCCAUCCAGAGAGCAGUCCCUGCUGCUGCUCAGGGGGGCCAUGCAGCCCAAGACGAGCCUAGAUUCCCUCACAGUCUCUGCACUGUCAGGGUCCCCUAAGCUCUGCCAGGUCUCCCUAGUCGGAAUGCAACAUGUCUGUCUCCAUGUUCCGAAUUGCAUCCAGUCCACCCGCAGGGCCUGUAGCCCUGCCCAGAGGUCCAGGUGGAAGGCAUGAUGCCCUGUGCAGUCCUGCCCAGACCCCUUCUCAGGAGGUGAGACUCUGCCCUACACAUCCAGCAAGGUGCUAAACAGAUCAGGUGGAACGAGAAUGUCACUGCCUCGUAGUCCACCUGCAGGUACUGGAAACUGCUACCAUUGCCCAGACUAGCAGAAUAGAUUUCACCUUCGAAAGCGACCCUGGCCUGGAUCCUGCUGCUUCUGCCACAUCUAUUUCCAGCUUCCUCUUCCUACUGGCCUCCUUCUGAAGUCCCAACAUGAUGUCCUGCCAAGUCACACAGGUGAAGAUAUAGGUUUGGAAAGGGGAUAUAACUUUCCAUGGUCAAAAGCAAAUAAACUGAACAUCUCAGCCAGCCCAUCUGCUUGGAGCCCUCUGCCUUAAAGCCACAUCACUCUCUGAGAUGAAACACCAGCCAGACAGGGUGAAGACAGGAGCGAGCUCCAGGUUUACAAGUGAUAGGAUCCCUGUGGAUUUCUAGUUCAGACUGAAAAUCCAUGAAAUUUAGAAUAAUAUGGGGAUAGUUUACAGACAUGUGAACUUUUACUGUGUAUGUUUUACUUACAAUGCAAUACCUAAUACUUCCACUGCGACAUCAGCAAACAUCCUUAGCCCUGUUUGCCACUGCACCACAGAGCUUUUCAUGCAAACUAACAUUACAGUAUGAUACAAAGAAAACUGUUUCUUCUUAAGAUAUUUACAAUGUGAUCAGGUUUAUUUAAAUAAAGUCCAUUUUAUACUA
RNAcentral lists this long non-coding RNA (2314 nucleotides) under Homo sapiens (human). Its description in RNAcentral is "HSALNT0357582". Lineage: Eukaryota; Metazoa; Chordata; Mammalia; Primates; Hominidae. The record is from RNAcentral.